This 480-nucleotide ribosomal RNA is filed under the name uncultured bacterium. Its description in RNAcentral is "bacterial SSU rRNA". It matches the Rfam family "Bacterial small subunit ribosomal RNA", at positions 28 to 508 of the family's 1533-position model. The record is from RNAcentral.
GACGAACGCUGGCGGCGUGCCUAACACGUGCAAGUCAACUUGACUGAAGGAGCAAUCUGACAGUAGAGUGGCGCAAGGGUGCGUAACGCGUAAGUAACUUGCCCAAGGUAAGGAAUAACGUCGAGAAAUCGGCGCUAAUACCUCAUAAUGCAGCGGAUCCGCAUGGAUAUGUUGUUAAAGGUUUACCGCCUUGGGAUAGGCUUGCGUCUGAUUAGCUAGUUGGUGUGGUAACGGCACACCAAGGCUACGAUCAGUAACUGGUCUGAGAGGAUGAUCAGUCACACUGGAACUGAGACACGGUCCAGACUCCUACGGGAGGCAGCAGUGAGGAAUAUUGGGCAAUGCUCGAAAGAGUGACCCAGCAACGCCGCGUGGAGGAUGAAGGUAUUCUAUAUCGUAAACUCCUGUGAGAGCAGACGAAAGACAGAUUAUUAAUCUGGAUGACUGUAUGCUCAGAGGAAGCCCCGGCUAACUACGUCG